ACACAGGUCAAGUUUAAUUUCAGCAUUGUGGAUGAAUAUGUUACCCAAUCAUUGUAAUGAUGCACUCUCAAACCAGCAGUGGGGCUGAGGAUGGAAAGAAAACCUUGUUUAUAACUUGUCUGCUGAUGAUUGGAGUUUGUUAUGAAAGCGUUCUGAUGCAAUCAUCAGUGACACAAAGGUAAGGAAUGUUCGUACCCUUCUGCUAUCACCGUAACAGUAGCUGUGUGACAGGUGAGAGGUAUGGCAGAGAAGGGGCAGUAUUGCAGGAGGGAUCACUUUUCCUCAGGGCUAAAGCAAGAGCAUACUUAAUCAUACUAGUACUUUUCAGGUAAAAUAUACUGCUCUUUAGCUGAACAGUGCUCUCCAGGCUGCACAAUCUAGACUCCAGAAUCAAGAAACCACCAGUGCUGGCCUAACCCAGCUCGUUUUAUGAUAUGACUAUCAGUAGUCACAUGUGCUUCAGAAGCUCCUGUGUUCAGUGGAAAGGAGCCUCCUCAAGAACGUACAACGGUCUGAGCACCGCCCUGCAGCAGCCCCCGAACCAGCAAGAUGGGCUUCUUGCAAAAGGAGGCGGCACCGCUGGAUCAAGACUGCUGAGGAUGCAGAAUUGUAGUCCCUGGAGAAAGGAACGGCUGUCUUCCACCCAUAUAACUCAAAAAGUGGAAACUUCUCAGGUAAGGAUCAAAUAGUUGAACCUAAGCUGGUUUCUUCUGUACAUGUGGCAGACCAGCUCCCAUGAAACACAGUGAGGCUGACAAGGAAGACUCUUUUCCAUUGGGGAUUUCACAUACAAUAUGCAUGCAGAUCAGUGCUUUGACUGAAGUUCAUUUGAAAAUGAAAACAAAAGCCACAUAAGACACCAGAAUGCAGGUACUUUGACAACUGUCAGGUUGGAAAGUGCUUUAUAUGUAAGACAAGUCAUAGUGUUCAGUCUAUUUGGAAACUGAUGCCACUGCUCACUUUUACAGACAGUUCCUUUAGGUGAGAGUGACACUGAUAUCAUUCACAUAGACACUGCCAGAUUGAUGUCAGCGAGACAGCAAAACGUUCAGGUUCACUGGAAGGAAUAUAACACCUUGGCUAAAAUGAAAUCCUUGACCAUGUAGAAAGGGAGCGGGUCGGAAAGGUACCUACCCCUGCCAAAUGUUUACUCUUGCAUCCCUGCCUCGCAGAGGGUGUGUGCCAUGUCGAGUCAGAGCCAAGGACAGUAAAGAAAUUCUGUGUGAAUAACACCUGACUGUUGUGGGCAAAGAACUAUGAAAUUAAGCCAUAAACUACGUAUGUGGUCAUUUAAACUAAGUUUAAGGCUUUGUAUAUCACAGGGUUAUAAAGCAAUGCUGGGGAGAGGUUAUAUUUUACAAAAAUAUUGAUGUUUACGCUAGAUUAAUGAUUACUUGCCUGUAGAGAGGAACAGCGAAUGGAAUAUCUAUCCAAGGUCAGGCUGUGUCUGAGCUGCAGACAC
RNAcentral lists this long non-coding RNA (1462 nucleotides) under Gallus gallus (chicken). RNAcentral's name for it is "long non-coding RNA NONGGAT004060". The record is from RNAcentral. Lineage: Eukaryota; Metazoa; Chordata; Aves; Galliformes; Phasianidae.